GGCGAGGCCGAGAGGCGUAGUCGAUGGGAAAUUGGUUAAUAUUCCAAUACUUCUGUGUAAUGCGAUGAGAGGACGGAGAAGGUUAAGUCAGCCUGGCGUUGGUUGUCCAGGUGGAAGGCAGUAGGCAUGCAUCUUAGGCAAAUCCGGGGUGCUCUAUGCUGAGAGCUGAUAGCAAGCUGUACUUGUACAGUGAAGUGGCUGAUACCAUGCUUCCAGGAAAAGUCUCUAAGCUUCAGUUACACAGGAAUCGUACCCGAAACCGACACAGGUGGUCAGGUCGAGUAGACCAAAGCGCUUGAGAGAACUCUGCUGAAGGAACUAGGCAAAAUGGUACCGUAACUUCGGGAGAAGGUACGCUGCUGACGGUGAUGGGACUUGCUCCCUGAGCUAUUGGCAGCCACAGAAACCAGGCCGCUGCAACUGUUUAUUAAAAACAUAGCACUCUGCAAACACGAAAGUGGACGUAUAGGGUGUGAUGCCUGCCCGGUGCUGGAAGGUUAAUUGAUGGGGUUAGCGUAAGCGAAGCUCUUGAUCGAAGCCCCAGUAAACGGCGGCCGUAACUAUAACGGUCCUAAGGUAGCGAAAUUCCUUGUCGGGUAAGUUCCGACCUGCACGAAUGGCAUAAUGAUGGCGGCGCUGUCUCCAGCAGAGGCUCAGUGAAAUCGAAAUCGCUGUGAAGAUGCAGUGUACCCGCGGCUAGACGGAAAGACCCCGUGAACCUUUACUGCAGCUUGACAUUGAACUUUGACCUUACUUGUGUAGGAUAGGUGGGAGGCUUUGAAGUUAGAACGCUAGUUCUAAUGGAGCCGUCCUUGAAAUACCACCCUGGUAAUGUUGAGGUUCUAACUCUGCCCCGUAAUCCGGGGCGAGGACCAUGUCUGGUGGGUAGUUUGACUGGGGCGGUCUCCUCCUAAAGAGUAACGGAGGAGUACGAAGGUGCGCUCAGCGUGGUCGGAAAUCACGCGUAGAGUAUAAAGGCAAAAGCGCGCUUAACUGCGAGACCCACAAGUCGAGCAGGUACGAAAGUAGGUCUUAGUGAUCCGGUGGUUCUGUAUGGAAGGGCCAUCGCUCAACGGAUAAAAGGUACUCUGGGGAUAACAGGCUGAUACCGCCCAAGAGUUCAUAUCGACGGCGGUGUUUGGCACCUCGAUGUCGGCUCAUCUCAUCCUGGGGCUGAAGCAGGUCCCAAGGGUAUGGCUGUUCGCCAUUUAAAGAGGUACGCGAGCUGGGUUUAGAACGUCGUGAGACAGUUCGGUCCCUAUCUACCGUGGGCGCUGGAAAUUUGAGAGGAUCUGCUCCUAGUACGAGAGGACCAGAGUGGACGAACCUCUGGUGUACCGGUUGUGACGCCAGUCGCAUCGCCGGGUAGCUAUGUUCGGAAGGGAUAACCGCUGAAAGCAUCUAAGCGGGAAGCCUACCUCAAGAUAAGAUUUCCCUAGGAAUUUAUUCCUCUAAAGAGCCGUUCGAGACUAGGACGUUGA
This 1481-nucleotide ribosomal RNA is filed under the name Acinetobacter colistiniresistens. RNAcentral describes it as "bacterial LSU rRNA". It matches the Rfam family "Bacterial large subunit ribosomal RNA", at positions 1395 to 2856 of the family's 2925-position model. Lineage: Bacteria; Pseudomonadati; Pseudomonadota; Gammaproteobacteria; Moraxellales; Moraxellaceae. The record is from RNAcentral.